AAAAUAAAAAGUUUAAAAAGCAAACAAAAAACCCCAAAUAGAGUUGUAUCAACGAGGUUUUGCUUGUGAUUUGAUUUUGUGGCCGUAAUUGUCCUGUUCUCUUUCAACACAAUAACCCUAACCCUCUCCCUGUUUCUUUCAGAAAGAGCGAGGGAGUAAUUCUAGCCUGUUUUUACAAGAACACAGUGGCUAUAGACAGUGCCAGUGUGAAGAUGACUCAGCAAACGUGGAGAACCAAAGAUUCUAGGGCAGCACCAAAACUGGGAAAGCAAUUACAGCAGAAGUUGCCUUCCCCAUGGUAGCUUAGCAACUUCGUGUCUCUCCAAGGCAGAGAGGAAAAUCAAGUCUAACAGGCCUUCCCGAAGGCUAGGUGUGAAAUACCAGAAGCCAUCUUUGUUUCUGGCGAUGUCACUAAAUAAGUAUUUGUUGAUAUAAAGUAUUACACAUCUGUUCUCCCACAUUUCAGCUAAAUUGCCAAAAGUUAACCCUUUCUGGAGAUCCAGAAUGGAGCAAUAUACCUAGCUCUCAUUCAUUAUUUCCCUUGCUGAUAUUCUUGCAUAGCUUUUAGUUUAUGCAUU
RNAcentral lists this long non-coding RNA (578 nucleotides) under Homo sapiens (human). RNAcentral describes it as "ACTR3 antisense RNA 1". The record is from RNAcentral. Lineage: Eukaryota; Metazoa; Chordata; Mammalia; Primates; Hominidae.